This 774-nucleotide ribosomal RNA is filed under the name uncultured bacterium. RNAcentral's name for it is "bacterial SSU rRNA". It matches the Rfam family "Bacterial small subunit ribosomal RNA", at positions 8 to 796 of the family's 1533-position model. The record is from RNAcentral.
AGAGUUUGAUCAUGGCUCAGAAUCAACGCUGGCGGCGUGCCUCAGACAUGCAAGUCGAACGAUUAAGACUUCCUUCGGGAAGUGCAUAAAGUGGCGCACGGGUGAGUAACACGUAAGUAAUCUACCUUCGAGUGGGGAAUAACGUCCGGAAACGGACGCUAAUACCGCAUAAUGCAGCGGCAUCGUAAGAUGACAGUUGUUAAAGGAGCAAUUCGCUUGAAGAGGAGCUUGCGGCAGAUUAGCUAGUUGGUAAGGUGAUGGCUUACCAAGGCUACGAUCUGUAACCGGUCUAAGAGGACGGUCGGUCACACUGACACUGAAUAACGGGUCAGACUCCUACGGGAGGCAGCAGUCGGGAAUUUUGGGCAAUGGGCGAAAGCCUGACCCAGCAACGCCGCGUGAAGGAUGAAGUAUUUCGGUAUGUAAACUUCGAAAGAAUAGGAAGAAUUAAUGACGGUACUAUUUAUAAGGUCCGGCUAACUACGUGCCAGCAGCCGCGGUAAUACGUAGGGACCAAGCGUUGUUCGGAUUUACUGGGCGUAAAGGGCGCGUAGGCGGCAUGACAAGUCACUUGUGAAAUCUCCGGGCUUAACUCGGAACGGUCAAGUGAUACUGUCGCGCUAGAGUGCGGAAGGGGCAAUCAGAAUUCUUGGUGUAGCGGUGAAAUGCAGAUAUCAAGAGGAAUACCUGAGGUGAAGACGGGUUGCUAGGCCGACACUGACGCUGAAGCGCGAAAGCCAGGGGAGCAAACGGGAUUAGAUACCCUAGUAGUCC